This 364-nucleotide ribosomal RNA is filed under the name Calonectria sp. FLS-2010. Its description in RNAcentral is "eukaryotic LSU rRNA". The stretch from base 65 to 218 matches the Rfam family "5.8S ribosomal RNA". The record is from RNAcentral. Lineage: Eukaryota; Fungi; Ascomycota; Sordariomycetes; Hypocreales; Nectriaceae.
CAGAGGACCCAACAAACUCUUUUGAAUUUUUCAGUAUCUUCUGAGUAAAAAACAAAUAAAUCAAAACUUUCAACAACGGAUCUCUUGGUUCUGGCAUCGAUGAAGAACGCAGCGAAAUGCGAUAAGUAAUGUGAAUUGCAGAAUUCAGUGAAUCAUCGAAUCUUUGAACGCACAUUGCGCCCGCCAGUAUUCUGGCGGGCAUGCCUGUUCGAGCGUCAUUUCAACCCUCAAGCUCAGCUUGGUGUUGGGGAUCGGCAAGGCGUCCUCCGGGUCGCGCCGUCCCCCAAAUUUAGUGGCGGUCUCGCUGUAGCUUCCUCUGCGUAGUAAUACACCUCGCUCUGGAGUCUCGGUGCGGCCACGCCGU